AUAUUUUUCUCUUCAAUUUUUUCUUAGGGCGUGUUUAGUUCGAGUUAUAUAAUAUUACAGAGUAUCUUGACAUAUCUAGGUGUCUUGGAUUUUGGCAUGAGAUUACCACUGAUGCUGUAUUAGCGCGUUUGGUUUAAUACAGUAAUGUAAUACUGGAUUUGCAGUGUUUAUAGCAUUGCUAUGUUUGUUUCAGUCUAUAAAAUUUAGUAAUCCUGGCAUAAAAAUAUAGUUUUUUUUCAAAAUUAACCUUGUUGUGGUCAUUUGAAUAUUAUUUUUUACUAAAAUAUAAUUUGAACUAGUAAAUUAAUUAUAUUAAUAAGUAAU
This 324-nucleotide long non-coding RNA is filed under the name Ananas comosus (pineapple). RNAcentral describes it as "long non-coding RNA (ACOM_LNC019585)". Lineage: Eukaryota; Viridiplantae; Streptophyta; Magnoliopsida; Poales; Bromeliaceae. The record is from RNAcentral.